AUAUGCACAGCCUCCCCCGAGUGCCGGCCGCGGGAUGCCGCCACCCCGGGGGCUCCCCGCCGAGCCCCGCCGCCCCCCCGCGCCCCUCGCCGGGGGUGGGGGCUGCCUUUGGAGAUCAGCGGUUCGCUUCUGCCCUUACCCUUUGGCUCAUCCAUCAGUGCUGGUGCUCGCUCCCUCCCUCUUCCUCUCUCAGCCUCCGCCGGCUCCGAGCUGCCUUAGUGAGAGAAGACUGAGCAGAUACACCAAGGACACAGGAACUGCCCUGAGAAGAGAUGACCUUCCUUGUUUCCAAAUAUGAGGUCCCGCCCACGGGGAAAAACCCCACCAAAUCACGAAAGGAGACAAAGUUGCAAUAGCUACUCAAAAGUCAUCUCCUGUACCUACCUGUCUCAUAGAAUGAGCUCAUACCUCCAGCUGCAUCUCCAGGGGACUUCAGGAAAGAGCCAAUUUUAGCCUACUUGCCUGGAAGGCCUGAAAGAAACCCACCCUCCACCACUUUUUAUCCCUGACAGACUUCACACAAAUUAGAAAUACAAGACAGUGCUGGAAGAGUCUCAGCAACUUUUCUCCAUAUCUUCUGACAUUCAAGUCCCAUUCCAGGCAUGGCAAGUGGCCCCACGCUCCCAACCUACAGAUUUGUCAGCCUCCCACUCCAAAGGAAGUUGCCAACCACCCUAGCUCUUUUGCUUCCUUCUCAGACCGGUGAAGACCAGCUUCCCAGCAUCUUCCCUGCUAGUUACCCAGAAGGUGAAGCCACUGGAGCACAGGCCAUGAGCACCUGCAGGCAGCUGCUAUGCCCUGCCCGUGCCAGAACCUGCUCCCCUCUCAGAAGUGUCACUUUAUCUUUGCAGUUGGACAAGUGAGUGCACAUCCGUACAGCUGGACACCAUCCAGCUCUGUGCCUACCACCAGCUUCCAGAGGUCUUGCCCCAAAGAGAGGCAGGAAGAGCAGGAUUCUGAUGCUAGGACCUGGAGAACCACACCUGGACAUGGGCUUUCAAAUCCCUUUGCAGCCUUGUCACAAACAAUGACCAGUACUUUCUCCUUCACAAAUAAACGUUCACUUGGCUUGCAUCACUCCAACUGACAAUACAACACUCCUGUUUAUAAUCUUUCUGAGAACAGGAAAAUAGGGAUCAACAAAAUAAAACAAUAUACAUAAUUAA
Molecule: long non-coding RNA, 1166 nt
Organism: Pseudopipra pipra
Lineage: Eukaryota; Metazoa; Chordata; Aves; Passeriformes; Pipridae
Exons: 2
Source: RefSeq, a predicted model, not a curated record